This 897-nucleotide long non-coding RNA is filed under the name Homo sapiens (human). RNAcentral's name for it is "HSALNT0234211". Lineage: Eukaryota; Metazoa; Chordata; Mammalia; Primates; Hominidae. The record is from RNAcentral.
GCGGCGCCCCCUGCCGGCCGCGGAGGGCGCGCCUUGGAGGGAGAGGACUUUAGGUGACGCCGCCAGGAGGCGAAAUUUCACCUGCCAGCAGCUCUGGAGGUCAAAAGAAAUGAGACUGCUGGGCUAAGAUCAAGGUGUCAGCAGGGCUGUAUUCCUUCCCAAGGCUCCAGGGGAGAAUCUGUUCACUUGCCUUUCCCAGCUUCUAGAGGUUGCCUACAUUCCUUGGCUUGCGGACCCUUCCUCCAUCUCCAGAAUCAGUAACGAAAGAUCCAAAGCCAUAUCCUGGCUGAGUUGGCUGAGUUGAGCAGGACACUGACAAGGAGGCUGCUGAGCCUGCAACUCGACUGUUCUGUUUGAGGAGCUCUGUGCUUUAUCAUAGAAAUGGAUCUGGUGAGUGCAGAGCCCAGGGAAUCUACGGAAGCAUUUGCACUGUGGUAUUUCAGCGUCGUCAGUGCUCAAUCUUCAUAACCCUAAAAAACUUACUGAGAUUGGAAAAAUAACUUUCCUACUGUAAGUCUGAAUCUCUUGAACCCCUUCUCCUACCUUCACCCACUGAAUCCAUUGUUUUUAUAGUUCUGUGCUUGACAACGUGGAUUUUCGUAAGAAUGCCACUGUCUUUUUUUUUUUUUUAGACAAUAUCUCAGUCUGUUGCUCGGGCUGGAGUGAGUGGCAUGAUCAUGGCUCACUGCAGCCUCAGUCUCCCUGGGCUUUGGAGAUCCUCCUAACUCAGCCUCCCAGGUAGCUGGGACUAUAGGCAUGCGGCACCACACCUGGCUACUUUUUUUUUUGAGACAGAGUCUCACUCUGUCGCCCAGGCUGGAGUGCAGUGGCACUAUCUCCACUCACUGCAAGCUCUGCCUCCCGGUUUCAUGCCAUUCUCCUGCCUCAGCCUCCCAA